Molecule: unclassified non-coding RNA, 319 nt
Filed under: Hevea brasiliensis (rubber tree)
Lineage: Eukaryota; Viridiplantae; Streptophyta; Magnoliopsida; Malpighiales; Euphorbiaceae
Source: RNAcentral
AUGGAGAAGUUUUGGUUGAAUUUCAGACGUCGAUGAGUUCACCAAUAACAGCCUAUGUGUCGUACUUGUCUGUUUAUAAGAAUGAGAGUGUGGUUGUUACGGGGCAUGAGAAUGGUGGGAUUUUGAUGCAUAGAAUUUGGGAGGUAGUAGUACCUGAUGGUGAUGACAGGACUUCUCUUCGUAUGGAAACUGUAGGAAAAUUUGCUUCACCGGAAAUCGAGGAAGGAGGGUCUUCGAUUUUAAGUUUAGAGGUGCAUCAUGUUGGAAGAAAUAGGUAUAUCUUGUCCACGGAUUCUGGUGGGAAACUCUGGGUUUUUAG